RNAcentral lists this ribosomal RNA (341 nucleotides) under Pyramidula sp. 4 OR-2015. RNAcentral's name for it is "partial 16S ribosomal RNA". The record is from RNAcentral. Lineage: Eukaryota; Metazoa; Mollusca; Gastropoda; Stylommatophora; Pyramidulidae.
UUGACUGUGCUAAGGUAGCAUAAUAAAUUGGCUUUUAAUUGAAGUCGGGAAUGAAAGGGUGUUUGGAGUUAUCCUGUCUUAUUUUUAUUUUUUAAAAAUUAUUAAUGGGGUGAAAAUUCCUCAAUUUUAUCUGAUAGACGAGAAGACCCUAAGAAUUAUUACAACUAUUAAAAUAAUUUAAUAAAAGUUUUUGUUGGGGCAACAACUUUGGAAGUAAAUAACCAAAGUAGAUUGAUUUAUAUUAUAGUAUAAAAAGAUUAUAUUAACAAUGAAUUUAAUUACCUUAGGGAUAACAGCAUAAUUAUAUUUUAGAUUGUGACCUCGAUGUUGGAUUANGGCCU